AAUUUCGUGAUGUAGUGGUUAUCACAUCUAUCUUACAUACAGAAGGUCGGCGGUUCGAUCCCGCCCGAAGCCA
Strongyloides papillosus is the source of this 73-nucleotide non-coding RNA. NCBI's taxonomy places the organism in Eukaryota, Metazoa, Nematoda, Chromadorea, Rhabditida, Strongyloididae. The record is from Rfam.